Molecule: small nuclear RNA, 107 nt
Organism: Loxodonta africana (African savanna elephant)
Lineage: Eukaryota; Metazoa; Chordata; Mammalia; Proboscidea; Elephantidae
Source: Ensembl
GUGCUUGCUUCGGCAGCACAUAUACUAAACUUGGAAGGAUACAGAGAAGAUUAGCAUGACCCCUGUGCAAGGAUGACAUGCAAAUUCACGAAGUGUUCCAUACUAAA